UACGGGGGGAGCAAGCGUUGUUCGGAUUUACUGGGCGUAAAGGGCGCGUAGGCGGCCACCGCAAUUCGACUGUGAAAUCUCCGGGCUUAACUCGGAAAGGUCAGCCGAUACUGCGGGGCUAGAGUGCAGAAGGGGCAACUGGAAUUCUCGGUGUAGCGGUGAAAUGCGUAGAUAUCGAGAGGAACACCUGCGGCGAAGGCGGGUUGCUGGGCUGACACUGACGCUGAUUGUGCGAAAGCUAGGGGAGCGAACGGG
Molecule: ribosomal RNA, 255 nt
Filed under: uncultured bacterium
Lineage: Bacteria
Description: partial 16S ribosomal RNA
Rfam family: Bacterial small subunit ribosomal RNA
Source: RNAcentral